GCCCGCCACCACCUCAGGCCGUUGGCGCCGCGGCCCCACCCCUCGCGCCGCUGCGCCCCGCCCCGCCAUCCUCCGGCCGUCGAACCCCGCCGGUCGCGGCCCGAGGCGUCCGCCCGCCCGCGGGGAGCCCCGACCGGACGGCAGCGUCGCCAAGGCCGCGGAGCCGGGCCGCCAUACCUGCACUUUUCUCCGCCCGGCUGUGUUCUGCCGGUGAUGGGCCGCCAUCUUGCAUGUUGACACUCCGACGUCACUUCCGGGAGAGUCGCGGCACCGGCGGAUGUCCCGUCCUAUUCUUUGGUUGGGUAGAAGGUGAAAAGAAGUCGAAGAAGUCGAGGCGUUUAGCAGCUGUUCCUCUCUAAUACGCUGAGGAAGAAAACAGCCUCUUCUACCUCUUUACGUGGGCGCAUCAGUAGCGCAGAGCAUUUUCAGGUCUAAAAGUGCUCAGUCCAGCUCUUCCACUGGAGGGCAGUAGAGACCCAUUUACACUGCCCCUAUUUGGGAAGUCGCUGGCUGGCUGUGACCCCCCUUAGAACGUUCGAUAAUCACUUCCCCACUGAUGCAAAGUCACAAUCCAGACACCUUUACAAGAAACAUGUUUCCCCGUGAAAAUGAUAGAAUCACGGUGCCAGGCUGUGUGAGAGUAAAGCACACCCUGUGUGUCUGUGAGGUCAGUGUGUCCCAUAGCCGUGGAUCCAAACUACCCCAGAUUAACAGCGUUUGAAAAAAGACGACUACUCAUCUGCCAAACUACUUGUUAAUCCAGUUUCUGGUUUGUUUCGUUUCUGGGUAGCCCUGGCUCUCCAGGAACUCACCCAGGCUGGCUUCAAACUCUCAUGUGCCUCCCAUGUGCUGGGAUUAAAGGCGUUGUACCACCACCAGCUGGCGAACAGUUUUUACCAAGCGGUUACAUUUUGUUAGGAUGCUCGAGGAGUCACCUAGUGAUGGUUUAGAAUGUAUAGAUGCUGUGCAUCCGUUCCAUGGAAAUUCCACACGCUUUUAUACAAGACCCUUGAAUACCCCAGAAUUUUGAUACCCAAGACUCUUGAAACUAGUCACAAUGGACACGAGGGAUAACUUGAUAAUUUAUCAGGUAACCAAUAUAACAGAAAACAAUAUAACUGUGCCACAAAUGUU
Non-coding RNA from Rattus norvegicus (Norway rat), 1134 nucleotides. The record is from RefSeq and is a predicted model, not a curated record. Lineage: Eukaryota; Metazoa; Chordata; Mammalia; Rodentia; Muridae.